Molecule: ribosomal RNA, 281 nt
Filed under: Amanita ponderosa
Lineage: Eukaryota; Fungi; Basidiomycota; Agaricomycetes; Agaricales; Amanitaceae
Description: partial 28S ribosomal RNA
Rfam family: Eukaryotic large subunit ribosomal RNA
Source: RNAcentral
UUGACCUCAAAUCAGGUAGGACUACCCGCUGAACUUAAGCAUAUCAAUAAGCGGAGGAAAAGAAACUAACAAGGAUUCCCCUAGUAACUGCNAGUGAAGUGGGAAAAGCUCAAAUUUAAAAUCUGACNGUCUUUGACUGUCUGAGUUGUAACCUAGAGAAGUGCUACCUGUGCUGGACCAUGUAUAAGUCUCCUGGAAUGGAGUGUCAGAGAGGGUGANAAUCCCGUCCUUGACAUGGACUGCCAGUGCAUUGUGGUGUGCUCUCAAAGAGUCGAGUUGUU